Non-coding RNA from Schizosaccharomyces pombe (fission yeast), 389 nucleotides. The record is from the annotation of a GenBank genome assembly. Lineage: Eukaryota; Fungi; Ascomycota; Schizosaccharomycetes; Schizosaccharomycetales; Schizosaccharomycetaceae.
CAUGAUCAUUAUCAAAAAUCCUAGAAUCCAAAGUUUCCUUUGAAAUGGCAGAAUUGUUUGUCGAGCUCUGAAAAAUGCGAUCUCCGAACGGUCGAAUAAAAGAUGCAAAAUCGUCAAAUCCUUUACGCUUCAUGAAAUUUUCUGUGUCAUCAGAUGCCAUAAUAAAUAUGUGCGGACAAUAUGUGUCACUGAUCAGCUGUCGAAGCUUUAGCCCAAACGCAUUGUUGCUCACCGAUGACGGUGUUACAUGAAGAGAACUUUGAGAUGCAUUAGGAGCAAUUUCAGAAAGGCUCCUGGUUAUAAAAUUUGUUGCAAUGUCCAUAAGGAUGUGUUAACGGUAUAGAGGAUAAAAAUUCCAAACGUAGUAUAUGAUUGUAGCAGGUCGUCGC